UAGUGAUGAGAAUUAUAGAUGACGAGUCAGAUUCGAGUUUCUCGAUGUUGAUACAGACUCAAUUUAUACCAUUCAUGCAAUCCUGACG
This 88-nucleotide small nucleolar RNA is filed under the name Candidozyma auris. Lineage: Eukaryota; Fungi; Ascomycota; Pichiomycetes; Serinales; Metschnikowiaceae. The record is from RNAcentral.